Brassica napus (rape) is the source of this 1808-nucleotide long non-coding RNA. RefSeq lists it as uncharacterized. NCBI's taxonomy places the organism in Eukaryota, Viridiplantae, Streptophyta, Magnoliopsida, Brassicales, Brassicaceae. The transcript has 6 exons. The record is from RefSeq and is a predicted model, not a curated record.
AUGAAGAGUUAAGUUUUGGUUAAUGACGUUCAAUCAAUUCGAUUCGUAACGAUUGAACGGUGAAGAAUACAACUGAAGCGUCAUUUACAAAGACUGAUUUGGAGAUCAUUGACGAUGUGUCGACGCACAACACCAAUUCAAAACCGCCAUUAUUGGUUGGAGUUAGUUGACAGGAGCAGAUCUUGGAUGCGCCGAUGCACCUUACGAAACUAAACCAGGAGGAAGAUAAAGGCAAGGCGGGCCUAGCAUCUGUUACGAAAUCAGCCCAAAUAGCAUUUCUGAAACUUACAAAUUUGAAACUUUUGUUGAAGCCCAAUUUAAAAAACAAAGAAGUUAUCGUCGAAGCCCACAGAAGGCAAGAGAUUUUUAAAAAAAUAAAACACGUGUCAUGCGCAGGAGAGCUCAAUUUAUGACGUGGCGUCCUUGUUGGCAUAAGUAGGAGAGAAGCAAAGCCUAUUAUCUAACCUAUACUAAAAGGGUUAUAUGAGCAUCAGAGAGUGUGUCCACGUCAGAUUAAAAAAUCAGCCAAUUGGAGAACUUUUUGUAGCCACGUCAUCAUCUCCUUAAACCUACGCGUCUCUGUCUUUUGAGCAUCUAUUAUUGUCUACCGCUUCAGAUUCUCAAGCUCUAAAGUUUUAAAUCCCUCACUUUAUCUAUCUGAAUCACUCAAAAAAAUUAAUCACACAAAAGUUUUUUAAGGAGAGAAGCCAAUCUCUCUCUCUCAGAUCGGAGAAAAGAGCCAUGGCGGCUGCGUGGAACGGGAGUGAGUACUUGACAUCGACGCUGAGACAGGUAGACAAUCGUUCACGCGGCCGUCGAACGCUGAGACUAUUGAGCAAGACGAAGAAGAUCUGAGAUGGGCCGCCGUAGGAAGGCUACCGUCGCAGAGACAAGGGAGUCAUCCGAGCGUUCGCUAAUCUUGAAUUGGCAGCAGAGUUUGAAGAGUCAAAUGUUCCUCACUACAACUGAUUAGAGUUUGGAGAAUCAGUUGAAAGACAUGGUGAAGCGUGGAAAGAAUCUGAGAGUGAAGGAAGCUGAUUGAAGAUAUAGAUGAGUACGACGGUGACGACCCUCUCUUCCCAUGGAUAAAGUGUUUUAAAGGGGUGCAGGAGGCGUUUCCUCCGGGUUUCAUCGAUUGUCAUAAGAUUCCUGAAAUAGCUAUGCAAAGAGAUUGAUUGCUCGGAGAUUUAUUGACACCUCUGUCCAAAGUGACAUGAAGCUAUGGCCUUUCAAGAUCUUACCUGCUCCUGCCGAUAAACCAAUGAUCGUCGUCAACUACAGAGGCGAAUAGAAACAGUUCGCCGCCGAGGAGAUAUCUUCCAUGGUUCUCAUCAAUAUAAGUGAGCUCUAUUGAGAAUUACGAAUGCGGUGCGGAGCCACUUUUCCAGCUAUACAAGAUUCUACUGAAGGCACCUGGUGUAUAUGGAGCACGGUUCAGUGGUGCAGGCUUCAGGGGAUGUUGUGUAGCCUUUGUGGAUGCAGAGAAAGCUGAGGAAGCUACUUCAUAUGUGAAGGAUGAAUACGAAAAGGCCCAACCCGAGUUUGCGAAGAAACUGAGUGGAGGUAAACCUGUUCUCAUCUGUGAAGCAGGUGACUCUGCUCGCGUUCUCUGUUCAAACUCGAAGUUUUUUUCCCUCGAGUGCUCUGUUAUAGUUGUUGAUUCUUAUUUGUUCAUCCUUUUUUUUAUUCUCUCUGUGAGAUUCUCUGAUCUGUUUAGUCAAGAGAUAGAAAUGGCGCAUGCAUUGAUACGUUUUUAUUGUUACCAACAAUUUGACAAUACGUAAUGUAAAUCAUUUAUCUUUCUGUUU